GUCCCUCGUCUAACCUACGUUCUUCCGUAGGUGAGGUUUACUCUUGAGUACGUCCCUCGUCUAACCUACGUUCUUCCGUAGGUGAGGUUUACUCUUGGAUGCUUGCCCCUCUGUCUACAUUUUUGUAGAAUGGGGUGUGUGUUUAGCCGACGUGUUCCCCGUCUAACCUACGUUCCUCCGUAGGUGGGGUUUACUUUUGCCGAUGUGUUCCCCGUCUAAACUACGUUCUUCCGUAGGUGAGGUUCACUCUUGAGUACGUCCCUCGUCUAACACUACGUUUCCGUAGGUGAGGUUCACUUUUUUGCCGCUGUGUUCCCCGUCUAACCUACGUUCUUCCGUAGGUGGGGUUCACUCUUGCCGCUGUGUUCCCCGUCUAACCUACGUU
Molecule: long non-coding RNA, 385 nt
Filed under: Zostera marina
Lineage: Eukaryota; Viridiplantae; Streptophyta; Magnoliopsida; Alismatales; Zosteraceae
Description: long non-coding RNA (ZMAR_LNC004573)
Source: RNAcentral